Molecule: ribosomal RNA, 976 nt
Filed under: uncultured organism
Description: bacterial SSU rRNA
Rfam family: Bacterial small subunit ribosomal RNA
Source: RNAcentral
GUUAGAGAUGAGCAUGCGUGUCAUUAGCUAGUUGGUAAGGUAACGGCUUACCAAGGCGACGAUGACUAGGGGGUCUGAGAGGAUGGUCCCCCAACACUGGUACUGAGACACGGACCAGACUCCUACGGGAGGCAGCAGUGAGGAAUAUAGGGCAAUGGGCGCAAGCCUGACCCAGACAUGCCGCGAUGCAGGAUGACUGCCCUAUGGGUUGUACACUGCUAUAAUACGGGAAGAAUGGUUCCUACGGUGUAGGGAUUGAGCGGUACGGUAAGAAUAAGCAUCGGCUAACUCCAUGCCAGCAGCCGCGGUAAUACGGAGGAUGCAAGCGUUAUCCGGAUUUCAUUGGGUUUAAAGGGUGCGCAGGCGGAAUAUUAAGUCAGUGGUGAAAUCCUGCAGCUUAACUGUAGAACUGCCAUUGAUACUGAUAUUCUUGAAUAUAGUUGAGGUGGCCGGAAUGUGUAAUGUAGCGGUGAAAUGCUUAGAUAUUACACAGAACACCGAUUGCGAAGGCAGCUCACUAAACUAAUAUUGACGCUGAGGCACGAAAGCGUGGGGAGCGAACAGGAUUAGAUACCCUGGUAGUCCACGCUGUAAACGAUGAUCACUCGCUGUUGGCAAUACAUCGUCAGCGGCUGAGCGAAAGCAUUAAGUGAUCCACCUGGGGAAUACGAUCGCAAGAUUGAAACUCAAAGGAAUUGACGGGGGCCCGCACAAGCGGAGGAACAUGUGGUUUAAUUCGAUGAUACGCGAGGAACCUUACCUGGGCUUAAAUGCAGAACGACGUUUCGGGAAACCGGAAUUUCUUCGGACGGACUGCAAGGUGCUGCAUGGCUGUCGUCAGCUCGUGUCGUGAGAUGUUGGGUUAAGUCCCGCAACGAGCGCAACCCACGUUCUUAGUUGCCAGCAUUCAGUUGGGCACUCUAGGGAGACUGCCGGUGACAAACCGGAGGAAGGUGUGGAUGACGUCAAGUCAGCA